GCUGCUGUGAAGUAAUGGAGAUCUUAUUCCCAUCCACGAUAUCCAAGGGUAUAAUCCGGCAGUGCUGUAAAAUGAGGCAGAGUAACGGUACCAUUACGUACUCCCCAGCGUCCCCUGGGCUGGGAUUUUCUAUGUUUAAGGCGAGUUUCAUUGGGGUAGACCCUGUUGGCUUGCAUAAGGUCAUUCUGUAUAAUAAGGGUUUCCC
Molecule: non-coding RNA, 205 nt
Organism: Pelobates cultripes (western spadefoot toad)
Lineage: Eukaryota; Metazoa; Chordata; Amphibia; Anura; Pelobatidae
Source: the annotation of a GenBank genome assembly